This 328-nucleotide ribosomal RNA is filed under the name uncultured Bacteroidota bacterium. Its description in RNAcentral is "bacterial SSU rRNA". It matches the Rfam family "Bacterial small subunit ribosomal RNA", at positions 28 to 351 of the family's 1533-position model. The record is from RNAcentral. Lineage: Bacteria; Pseudomonadati; Bacteroidota.
GAUGAACGCUAGCGGGAGGCUUAACACAUGCAAGUCGAGGGGCAGCAUGGAGUAGCAAUACUCUGAUGGCGACCGGCAGACGGGUGAGUAACGCGUAUGUAACCUACCCUGUACAGGGGGAUAACCCGGAGAAAUUCGGACUAAUACCCCAUAACGAUAUUUGGAGGCAUCUUUGAAUAUUUAAAGUUUCGACGGUACGGGAUGGGCAUGCGUAACAUUAGCUAGUUGGUAGGGUAACGGCCUACCAAGGCUACGAUGUUUAGGGGACCUGAGAGGGUGAUCCCCCACACUGGUACUGAGACACGGACCAGACUCCUACGGGAGGCAG